RNAcentral lists this ribosomal RNA (245 nucleotides) under uncultured bacterium. RNAcentral's name for it is "partial small subunit ribosomal RNA". It matches the Rfam family "Bacterial small subunit ribosomal RNA", at positions 26 to 285 of the family's 1533-position model. The record is from RNAcentral.
AGAAUCAACGCUGGCGGCGUGCCUAACACAUGCAAGUCGCACGAGAAAGGGACUUCGGUCCUGAGUAAAGUGGCGCACGGGUGAGUAACACGUGAAUAAUCUACCUCCGAGUGGGGAAUAACUGAGAGAAAUCUUAGCUAAUACCGCAUAAUACCCACGGGUCAAAGCAGCAAUGCGCUUGGAGAGGAGUUCGCGGCCGAUUAGCUAGUUGGCGGGGUAAUGGCCCACCAAGGCGAUGAUCGGUA